AGGUGCGAUCUUACCAGCACUAAUGCACCGGAUCCCAUCAGAACUCCACAGUUAAUCGCGAUUGGGUGAGAGUAGUACUAGGAUGGGUGACCACCUGGGAAGUCCUUGUGUUACACCUC
Ribosomal RNA from Lupinus angustifolius (narrow-leaved blue lupine), 119 nucleotides. Lineage: Eukaryota; Viridiplantae; Streptophyta; Magnoliopsida; Fabales; Fabaceae. The record is from Rfam.